This 741-nucleotide ribosomal RNA is filed under the name uncultured bacterium. RNAcentral's name for it is "bacterial SSU rRNA". It matches the Rfam family "Bacterial small subunit ribosomal RNA", at positions 60 to 795 of the family's 1533-position model. The record is from RNAcentral.
AGUCGAGCGCGAUUGUUUGGACCGGCGGCUUCGGCCAAAGGGAAGAACAUGAAAGCGGCGGACGGGUGAGUAACGCGUGAGCAACCUGCCUUGUACAGGGGGAUAGCCACUGGAAACGGUGAUUAAUACCCCAUGAAUCCAAAGAACCGCAUGGUUCAAUGGACAAAGCCUUGGCGGUACAGGAUGGGCUCGCGUCUGAUUAGCUAGUUGGUGAGGUAACGGCCCACCAAGGCGACGAUCAGUAGCCGACCUGAGAGGGUGAACGGCCACACUGGAACUGAGACACGGUCCAGACUCCUACGGGAGGCAGCAGUGGGGAAUAUUGCACAAUGGGCGCAAGCCUGAUGCAGCAACGCCGCGUGAGUGAUGAAGGCCUUCGGGUCGUAAAACUCUGUCCUAAGGGAAGAAGAAAGUGACGGUACCUUAGGAGGAAGCCCCGGCUAACUACGUGCCAGCAGCCGCGGUAAUACGUAGGGGGCAAGCGUUAUCCGGAAUCACUGGGCGUAAAGGGUGCGUAGGCGGCUUAUCAAGCCAGGGGUGAAAGGCAUUGGCUAAACCAAUGUAAGCCUUUGGAACUGAUUCCCUUGAGUGCAGGAGAGGAAAGCGGAAUUCCUAGUGUAGCGGUGAAAUGCGUAAAUAUUAGGAGGAACACCCGUGGCGAAAGCGGCUUUCUGGACUGUAACUGACGCUGAGGCACCGAAAGCGUGGGGAGCGAACAGGAUUUAGAUACCCCUGGUAGUC